Molecule: transfer RNA, 72 nt
Filed under: Dipodomys ordii (Ord's kangaroo rat)
Lineage: Eukaryota; Metazoa; Chordata; Mammalia; Rodentia; Heteromyidae
Rfam family: tRNA
About the family: Transfer RNA (tRNA) molecules are approximately 80 nucleotides in length. Their secondary structure includes four short double-helical elements and three loops (D, anti-codon, and T loops).
Source: Rfam by way of RNAcentral
CUGGGAUUGGCUUAGUGGUAGAGUGCUUGCCUAGCAUGCAUGAAACCCUGGGUUUGAUUCCUCGGUACCACA